This 305-nucleotide ribosomal RNA is filed under the name uncultured bacterium. Its description in RNAcentral is "bacterial SSU rRNA". It matches the Rfam family "Bacterial small subunit ribosomal RNA", at positions 334 to 653 of the family's 1533-position model. The record is from RNAcentral.
UUUUCCUAUGGGGCGCAGCAGUGGGGAAUAUUGGGCAAUGGGCGCAAGCCUGACCCAGCAACGCCGCGUGAAGGAAGAAGGCUUUCGGGUUGUAAACUUCUUUUAUCAGGGACGAAACAAAUGACGGUACCUGAUGAAUAAGCCACGGCUAACUACGUGCCAGCAGCCGCGGUAAUACGUAGGUGGCAAGCGUUAUCCGGAUUUACUGGGUGUAAAGGGCGUGUAGGCGGGACUGCAAGUCAGAUGUGAAACCCAUGGGCUCAACCCAUGGCCUGCAUUUGAAACUGUAGUUCUUGAGUGAUGGA